Molecule: small RNA, 28 nt
Filed under: Bombyx mori (domestic silkworm)
Lineage: Eukaryota; Metazoa; Arthropoda; Insecta; Lepidoptera; Bombycidae
Description: ovarian small RNA-22912
Source: RNAcentral
UAGUAGGCAAAUUUGGAAACGAAAAGGC